RNAcentral lists this unclassified non-coding RNA (423 nucleotides) under Hevea brasiliensis (rubber tree). The record is from RNAcentral. Lineage: Eukaryota; Viridiplantae; Streptophyta; Magnoliopsida; Malpighiales; Euphorbiaceae.
CUUCUGGGCUUCUUGCAAGCUGCAAGUGAAACAAAAAGAUUUAUCACUUAUUUAUUGAACCUCAUAUGUUUGGAAAUUUUCGUGUUUCAACCCAUAGUAAAUAUUACAAUCAUUGUAAUUAAUAGUUGCAGGUUCAAUAAUCAUUUAAAGACAUUCAAGAAUAUUCCAAACGACCAAAUACAACCAACUAAACAAGCGCCAUCUAUAAUACAAUAAGAUUGUUCCAUUAUAAGGUAUUUUUAUGUUGUAAAUUUGACAGGCCAUCAGCAUGUUGUGCGGAAAAUUAUAUUUUUCAUAUGUACAAAAGUCACACAAUAGAACAGAGUACUAACAGUGGUAACCUGUUAGUCAUCUUACACUUAAUAGCAGUUACAGCCUCCGCUUAAAAUUUUUCACUGUACCAGAGAAAAAGAAAAAGGGAAA